Molecule: transfer RNA, 62 nt
Filed under: Ptomaphagus walteri
Lineage: Eukaryota; Metazoa; Arthropoda; Insecta; Coleoptera; Leiodidae
Description: tRNA-Leu
Source: RNAcentral
AUAUUGAUUUGGCAGAUUAGUGCAUUAAAUUUAGAAUUUAAAUAUGUAUAUUACAAUCAAUA